RNAcentral lists this unclassified non-coding RNA (353 nucleotides) under soil metagenome. RNAcentral describes it as "partial contains 5.8S ribosomal RNA, internal transcribed spacer 2, and large subunit ribosomal RNA". The stretch from base 1 to 120 matches the Rfam family "5.8S ribosomal RNA", at positions 35 to 154 of the family's 154-position model. The record is from RNAcentral.
GAUGAAGAACGCAGCGAAAUGCGAUAAGUAAUGUGAAUUGCAGAAUUCAGUGAAUCAUCGAAGCUUUGAACGCACAUUGCGCCCGCCAGUAUUCUGGCGGGCAUGCCUGUUCGAGCGUCAUUACAACCCUCAGGCCCCCGGGCCUGGCGUUGGGGAUCGGCGGAAGCCCCCUGCGGGCACAACGCCGUCCCCCAAAUACAGUGGCGGUCCCGCCGCAGCUUCCAUUGCGUAGUAGCUAACACCUCGCAACUGGAGAGCGGCGCGGCCACGCCGUAAAACACCCAACUUCUGAAUGUUGACCUCGAAUCAGGUAGGAAUACCCGCUGAACUUAAGCAUAUCAAUAAGCGGAGGA